UUCUUUGCUGACGAGUGGCGGACGGGUGAGUAAUGUCUGGGAAACUGCCUGAUGGAGGGGGAUAACUACUGGAAACGGUAGCUAAUACCGCAUAACGUCGCAAGACCAAAGAGGGGGACCUUCGGGCCUCUUGCCAUCGGAUGUGCCCAGAUGGGAUUAGCUAGUAGGUGGGGUAACGGCUCACCUAGGCGACGAUCCCUAGCUGGUCUGAGAGGAUGACCAGCCACACUGGAACUGAGACACGGUCCAGACUCCUACGGGAGGCAGCAGUGGGGAAUAUUGCACAAUGGGCGCAAGCCUGAUGCAGCCAUGCCGCGUGUAUGAAGAAGGCCUUCGGGUUGUAAAGUACUUUCAGCGGGGAGGAAGGGAGUAAAGUUAAUACCUUUGCUCAUUGACGUUACCCGCAGAAGAAGCACCGGCUAACUCCGUGCCAGCAGCCGCGGUAAUACGGAGGGUGCAAGCGUUAAUCGGAAUUACUGGGCGUAAAGCGCACGCAGGCGGUUUGUUAAGUCAGAUGUGAAAUCCCCGGGCUCAACCUGGGAACUGCAUCUGAUACUGGCAAGCUUGAGUC
RNAcentral lists this ribosomal RNA (571 nucleotides) under Escherichia coli. RNAcentral describes it as "bacterial SSU rRNA". It matches the Rfam family "Bacterial small subunit ribosomal RNA", at positions 81 to 648 of the family's 1533-position model. The record is from RNAcentral. Lineage: Bacteria; Pseudomonadati; Pseudomonadota; Gammaproteobacteria; Enterobacterales; Enterobacteriaceae.